This 253-nucleotide ribosomal RNA is filed under the name uncultured bacterium. Its description in RNAcentral is "partial 16S ribosomal RNA". It matches the Rfam family "Bacterial small subunit ribosomal RNA", at positions 524 to 776 of the family's 1533-position model. The record is from RNAcentral.
UACGGAGGGUGCGAGCGUUGUCCGGAAUCACUGGGCGUAAAGGGCGCGUAGGCGGCGCGGUUAGUCGGCGGUGAAAGCCCGGAGCUCAACUCCGGGUCGGCCGUCGAUACUUCCGGGCUUGAGCACUGUAGAGGCAGAUGGAAUUCCGGGUGUAGCGGUGAAAUGCGCAGAUAUCGGGAAGAACACCUAUGGCGAAGGCAGCUCACUGGACGAAUAUUGACACUGAGGCACGAAAGCGUGGGGAUCAAACAGG